UCUCCUGGAAACGGGUGGUAAUGCCGGAUGCUCCAUCACACUGCAUGGUGUGUUGGGAAAGCCUUUGCGGCAUGGGAUGGGGUCGCGUCCUAUCAGCUUGAUGGCGGGGUAACGGCCCACCAUGGCUUCGACGGGUAGCCGGCCUGAGAGGGCGACCGGCCACAUUGGGACUGAGAUACGGCCCAGACUCCUACGGGAGGCAGCAGUGGGGAAUAUUGCACAAUGGGCGCAAGCCUGAUGCAGCGACGCCGCGUGAGGGAUGGAGGCCUUCGGGUUGUAAACCUCUUUUGUUAGGGAGCAAGGCAUUUUGUGUUGAGUGUACCUUUCGAAUAAGCACCGGCUAACUACGUGCCAGCAGCCGCGGUAAUACGUAGGGUGCAAGCGUUAUCCGGAAUUAUUGGGCGUAAAGGGCUCGUAGGCGGUUCGUCGCGUCCGGUGUGAAAGUCCAUCGCUUAACGGUGGAUCCGCGCCGGGUACGGGCGGGCUUGAGUGCGGUAGGGGAGACUGGAAUUCCCGGUGUAACGGUGGAAUGUGUAGAUAUCGGGAAGAACACCA
This 555-nucleotide ribosomal RNA is filed under the name Bifidobacterium breve. RNAcentral's name for it is "bacterial SSU rRNA". It matches the Rfam family "Bacterial small subunit ribosomal RNA", at positions 146 to 711 of the family's 1533-position model. Lineage: Bacteria; Bacillati; Actinomycetota; Actinomycetes; Bifidobacteriales; Bifidobacteriaceae. The record is from RNAcentral.